RNAcentral lists this ribosomal RNA (375 nucleotides) under Triticum aestivum (bread wheat). RNAcentral describes it as "partial small subunit ribosomal RNA". Lineage: Eukaryota; Viridiplantae; Streptophyta; Magnoliopsida; Poales; Poaceae. The record is from RNAcentral.
AUGAUCAUCACUAUGUUUCACUCAAAUGUUCAUCGACCCAAGAUCAUGGAGAAGCACGACACCCGCAAGGUACACACGGUUGCUGAGCUUUUUAAGCGCGCCCACAAGUGCGCACGUGCAGAAGGAAGAAGAAUACCUGGGGAUGGCAUCGAUGACACUGGAGAGAGAGUCGAUGCCUCUCCAAGUUCCAGCAAACGCAAGAGCCAAAAGCACAAAUCUAAAGUUGUGCUUGUGGUGGAGUCAUCCAACAAGAAACCCAAGGCCAAUGAUAGAUGCAAAGAGCAGGCCACAAGCGGCGCUCGGGGAACCCUUAUUGCAAGAUACAUCUCACCUCCGACCAUGACAUCCAAGAAUGUCGGCAGGUGGAAUACCUGA